GCGGGAGUAUUAGUUCGCCUUCUAAGCGUACGGUCAGAGGUUCGAAUCCUCUAAGGCGCG
Molecule: transfer RNA, 60 nt
Filed under: Neobacillus sp. PS2-9
Lineage: Bacteria; Bacillati; Bacillota; Bacilli; Caryophanales; Bacillaceae
Description: tRNA-Ser
Source: RNAcentral